RNAcentral lists this ribosomal RNA (447 nucleotides) under uncultured bacterium. RNAcentral describes it as "bacterial SSU rRNA". It matches the Rfam family "Bacterial small subunit ribosomal RNA", at positions 355 to 825 of the family's 1533-position model. The record is from RNAcentral.
UGGGGAAUUUUGGGCAAUGGGCGCAAGCCUGAUCCAGCCAUGCCGCGUGAGUGACGAAGGUCUUCGGAUUGUAAAACUCUUUUGGCGGGGACGAUAAUGACGGUACCCGCAGAAUAAGCCCCGGCUAACUUCGUGCCAGCAGCCGCGGUAAUACGAAGGGGGCUAGCGUUGUUCGGAAUCACUGGGCGUAAAGCGCACGUAGGCGGAUGUGCCAGUCAGGGGUGAAAUCCCGGAGCUCAACUCCGGAACUGCCUCUGAUACUGCACGUCUUGAGUUCGAGAGAGGUGGGUGGAAUUCCUAGUGUAGAGGUGAAAUUCGUAGAUAUUAGGAAGAACACCGGUGGCGAAGGCGGCCCACUGGCUCGAUACUGACGCUGAGGUGCGAAAGCGUGGGGAGCAAACAGGAUUAGAUACCCCCGUAGUCCCUGAGCGGGCUGGCAAGGCGCAU